UAACCUGCCCAAGAGAUCGGGAUAACACCUGGAAACAGAUGCUAAUACCGGAUAACAACAGAUGAUGCCUAUCAACUGUUUAAAAGAUGGUUCUGCUAUCACUCUUGGAUGGACCUGCGGUGCAUUAGCUGGUUGGUAGGGUAACGGCCUACCAAGGCGAUGAUGCAUAGCCGAGUUGAGAGACUGAUCGGCCACAUUGGGACUGAGACACGGCCCAAACUCCUACGGGAGGCAGCAGAC
Molecule: ribosomal RNA, 240 nt
Filed under: uncultured Lactobacillus sp.
Lineage: Bacteria; Bacillati; Bacillota; Bacilli; Lactobacillales; Lactobacillaceae
Description: partial 16S ribosomal RNA
Rfam family: Bacterial small subunit ribosomal RNA
Source: RNAcentral